This 491-nucleotide ribosomal RNA is filed under the name uncultured bacterium. RNAcentral's name for it is "partial 16S ribosomal RNA". It matches the Rfam family "Bacterial small subunit ribosomal RNA", at positions 29 to 506 of the family's 1533-position model. The record is from RNAcentral.
AGUGAACGCUGGCGGUAGGCCUAACACAUGCAAGUCGAACGGCAGCACAGUAAGAGCUUGCUCUUACGGGUGGCGAGUGGCGGACGGGUGAGGAAUACAUCGGAAUCUACUUUUUCGUGGGGGAUAACGUAGGGAAACUUACGCUAAUACCGCAUACGACCUACGGGUGAAAGCAGGGGAUCUUCGGACCUUGCGCGAUUGAAUGAGCCGAUGUCGGAUUAGCUAGUUGGCGGGGUAAAGGCCCACCAAGGCGACGAUCCGUAGCUGGUCUGAGAGGAUGAUAGGCAAAAUGGGAAUUGAGACACGGUCCAGACCCCUAGGGGAGGAAGCAGUGGGGAAUAUUGGCCAAUGGGCGCAAGCCUGACCCAGCCAUACCGCGUGGGUGAAGAAGGCCUUCGGGUUGUAAAGCCCUUUUGUUGGGAAAGAAAAGCAGCAGGUUAAUACCCCGCCGUUCUGCCGGUACCAAAAGAAUAAGCACCGGCUAACUUCGU